AAGACAAAGAAAAUACCAAGUGUCGAUGGCAAGAAUGUGGAGAAAUCGGAACCCUUGUGCUCUGUCGAUGGGAAUGUCAAAUGGCGUGGCUGCUGAGAGAAACAGUAUGACAGUUCCCCCCAAAAUUACAAAUAGAAUUUCCAUAUGAUCUAACAAUUCCACAUAUGGGUACAUACCCAAAAGAAUUGAAGGUAGGUACUCAAAGAGAUAUUUGUAUACCCGUGUUUAUAGUAGCAUUAUUUACAACAGCCAGAAGGGGAACGCGGUCAAAGCGUCCGUCAAGGGACGAACGGAUACACACAAUAUGCUUAUAUACCGACAGUGGAAUCUUACCCAGUCUACAAAGAAAGGAAAGGACACAUGCUACGACACAGACGAGCCUCGAGGACACUAUGCUUGCUGCGCUGUUGGAAAGGUCCAUGUGGCAGGGAACUGAGGGUGGCCUCCAGCCAACCACCAGCAAAGAAUUGGGGCCCUCCAUACAACAACCUGCAAGAAACUGAAUCCUUCCACUGGCCACAUAGGGGAGCUUAGAAGCAGAUUCUUCUCCAGUUAAAAGUUAAUGGGACUAUAGCCCUGACCAACACCUUGAUCACAGCCUGGACCAGACCCUGAAGCAGGGCUGAGCUUAACUGUGCCCAGAUUCCUGACCCACAGAAACUAUAAAUAAUAAAUAUUGUCAUUUUAGGCUA
Long non-coding RNA from Felis catus (domestic cat), 692 nucleotides. RefSeq lists it as uncharacterized. The record is from RefSeq and is a predicted model, not a curated record. The transcript has 2 exons. Lineage: Eukaryota; Metazoa; Chordata; Mammalia; Carnivora; Felidae.